Molecule: ribosomal RNA, 482 nt
Filed under: uncultured bacterium
Lineage: Bacteria
Description: partial 16S ribosomal RNA
Rfam family: Bacterial small subunit ribosomal RNA
Source: RNAcentral
AUUGAACGCUGGCGGCAUGCCUUACACAUGCAAGUCGAACGGUAACGGGCCUUCGGGUGCCGACGAGUGGCGAACGGGUGAGUAAUACAUCGGAACGUGCCCGAUCGUGGGGGAUAACGAGGCGAAAGCUUUGCUAAUACCGCAUACGAUCUACGGAUGAAAGCAGGGGACCGCAAGGCCUUGCGCGGACGGAGCGGCCGAUGGCAGAUUAGGUAGUUGGUGGGAUAAAAGCUUACCAAGCCGACGAUCUGUAGCUGGCCUGAGAGGAUGAUCAGCCACACUGGGACUGAGACACGGCCCAGACUCCUACGGGAGGCAGCAGUGGGGAAUUUUGGACAAUGGGCGCAAGCCUGAUCCAGCCAUGCCGCGUGCAGGAUGAAGGCCUUCGGGUUGUAAACUGCUUUUGUACGGAACGAAAAGCCUUCUUUUAAUACAGGAGGGUCAUGACGGUACCGGAAGAAUAAGCACCGGCUAACUACGUG